AUGGGCACCCCUUGCUUAGGUAUAUUUACGACGUAUACAAACAUGGAAUUUCCGUCUACGAAAGCAUUGGUUUGGGAGAAAGCCAAAAAGCUGCUCCUCUUGCUUGCCCUCGUCUUCUCUCUGGCCUUGUUCCUCCUGCUCGUGUUCGAGCUUGCAUCCCCUCACCUGUGCGAGAUCAUCCAGGCAUACUACGCGGAGGAAGGGCACCACCAAGUGGAGAUCACCGGCAUCGACGCAACGCCGCAAGACGCGACGUGCUUGCGCCUCAACCUCGCCGCACGCGUCACCAGCCGCUACCAACGCCACGAGAUGUGCGUGACUGACUGGGAGACCGACGUCUGGCACGACGGGACACACCUUGGCAAGGCUUACUUCCCCAAGACCUGCCUGGAGAAGAUGACAGAAGCGGCGGUGACGGCCACGACGUCGACGGAGCUGGCCGGGCUAAGCAUCGCCAACGGGACGAUGCUUCAGGUCGAGAUGACACAGUUUACCAAUCUAUUGUUCGGUGAUGAUAGGACAGUCGGCCAAACAGGAUGGCACUGGCUAUGGUGCAAGGCCACGUUGGGUGGGCAAUCUCACGAGUCCCCCUCCCCCUGCCGCAUCCACCAUCUCACCCUGGCAGAGACUAGUGACAGAAGGUUCUCUUUUCGUCCGGGAAAGUGA
RNAcentral lists this ribosomal RNA (666 nucleotides) under Triticum aestivum (bread wheat). RNAcentral's name for it is "partial small subunit ribosomal RNA". Lineage: Eukaryota; Viridiplantae; Streptophyta; Magnoliopsida; Poales; Poaceae. The record is from RNAcentral.